GGAAGUCUUAUCCAUAGAUGGCAGUUGCUCCUCGUGGCGGUACUUUUCUAUCUGUGUCAUGCGGAGUCUAAAGCCGCCCAACUAGAACGUAUUUUCAGUGGAGAAAACGCAAAGCAGCAAAGAUUGCCUCAUGAAGUCAUUUAUGAUCUUGAAACAAAUAAUCAUUUGCUUUUACGAUGCGUUGGAACUAUAAUCGGUGAAAGAACUAUUCUUACAGCAGCUCAAUGCUUUGAUAUAAAUUUUGGCAAAAUCGAAAGGAUCAGAAUUCACUUUAGUCAUGUUAUCGUCCUUGGAACUGACAGCUAUGUGGUUCAUGAAAGCUAUCAAUGUAAUAUAAAACAUAACAUUGCUUUAAUUAAACUACCACACAAACUGGAAUUCAACCAGCAUUUUCAACCAGCUAAACUGCCAAAGCCCGAUAACCUUUAUGUUAACAAAAAUGCAGUUGCCUCCGGUUGGAGCCCAUAUAAUGGUAAUACGUAUCUUUGGCAUAUGAACGUAAAAACUUUAUCAAAUGAGCAAUGCCAGUGCUUAAUAAAAAGAGCUAAAAAGUUCUAUUCACAUUGGCUAUGCAGCGAGGCUAAUGAGAAUAUUCCGUGCCAUGAUCUCCGUGGUAGUCCACUGAUAGACAGGAACCCUGAUGGUUCUAGCACUGUGAUUGGUAUCGUGAAUGUAGAACAAAACUGCAAUCCUGAUCGUACUAAUUUUUAUACUCGGGUUUCAUAUUUCGUAAACUGGAUCGCUCAGCAUACUAAUGAGUCAUAAGAAAUCUUUACAAUCAUUAA
Molecule: small RNA, 785 nt
Filed under: Drosophila mojavensis
Lineage: Eukaryota; Metazoa; Arthropoda; Insecta; Diptera; Drosophilidae
Description: GI25783
Source: RNAcentral